RNAcentral lists this long non-coding RNA (206 nucleotides) under Mytilus galloprovincialis (Mediterranean mussel). Lineage: Eukaryota; Metazoa; Mollusca; Bivalvia; Mytilida; Mytilidae. The record is from RNAcentral.
GAAAUUACGGGUUUGCGAUGGAAGAUAGAAGUGAAACGGAAAAGACUGUUUUACACCUUGAAUUUCUUGAUGCCGUCAAUUUCGUUAUCAAUUGCUGAUUGUUUUUCCUUUUUGUUACCUGCAAAAAGUUCUAAAAAACUUGGUUUAUCAGUUUUUGUUUUUCUGGCCAAUGUUGUGCUAAUUCGCCUUUUCAAUGAUUCUAUGCC